Long non-coding RNA from Photinus pyralis (common eastern firefly), 3402 nucleotides. RefSeq lists it as uncharacterized. Lineage: Eukaryota; Metazoa; Arthropoda; Insecta; Coleoptera; Lampyridae. The transcript has 5 exons. The record is from RefSeq and is a predicted model, not a curated record.
CUCAAGGUGCGGCCAUCGUCUUCGGAGGCGUGCAAACGGCCUAUGGUAAAUACACCGCAUAUCUAUCACACGUUUAACCAUAUAUUUGUAGAACGAGAACUCCGAACACAUCUAAUAGAAAAAUAUGGAUCUGAACAUGUUGCGAUUUUACGGGGUCGGGGAACAAUCCCCGGCUCCGUAAAGAUUGAGGAAGAUGACUUCCAGGGAACGAGGUUCCAGGUCUUUAAAGACCUGGAACUCAAACACACCUAUUGGGUGUUCUAUAAUUAAUAAACCUGUUAAAUUUUGUUCUGUUUUUCUUAUCCGCCCCACUGCAUAGAUUAUGAUUGUAUCCGUGUUCUAAGCUCUUACCUAAAAUAGUAAGAUGUAGUGGUUAGGUAUUUAUCCAUAAUGCUAUACGGUGUUAUCCUUUCUCUCGUAAAAAGUCUUAAGGCGCCAGAAGCAUCUCUAUCCUAGUUUGGAAUUAAGAAGCUUGCCUUAUCACAGAUAUUAUCAGCACAUAAACUUAAAUCCAAGAAAAAUUGUCAAAAUCCUAGGAAAUUUGUAUACAAAUAAUUAGGAUAUUAUUUUAGGAAUAUUCUUAGACUAAAGGUUAUUAGCAAACUACCCCUGUAUAAAGCUAAAAAUAGAAAAUUCUUGUAUAAAUUUAAGAUUUCAUUGUUGCAGUACUAUUAAAAAGGAAGGCCUGUUAGUUAUUUUUUCAUACACCCUGUGUAGAGAAAUAACUAAUGGGGAAUCCUAUAACGAGGUCGUAAACAUCUCCAAUAAAUUGCAUUAUUUCUAGUGCGAAUUUAUUGCCUCCUGGGUGGUCAUGGAAAGAGGUGUAUCUAACCAAUAAUAAUUUAACCAAAGCUAUACAAGGUAGAUCGAUCUUUGAUUGCUAGAAUUAAUAACACAUCUGUUUUAAAUCGUACGCUUACACGUAUUAUGAAGGUACUGCUCAAGUGUAUCAAUUUGAUUUAAGAAGCGUGUCGUAUCACAGAUAUUAACAGUACAUAAAGUUAGCUUCCUUUCUCCCGUAAACAAGUCUUGAGGCACCUCCUCCCACCCAACGUCCAUCUCUAUCCUGUUCGGGAUUAAGAAGCCUGCCUUAGCACGGGUAUUAUCACCAUAUAAACUUAAAUCCAAGAAAAAUUAACAAAAUUUGUGAGAGUUUAUAUAACAGCACUAUUCUAACUAGAGUAAUAAAAAUUUAUAUCCUAGCACUUUGAUUGCAGGAAUUAAUAACACAUCUGUUUUAAAUCGUAUGCUUACACGUAUUAUGAAGGUGCUGCCCCAAGUGUAUCAAUUUGAUUUAAGAAGCUUGCCUUAUCACAGGUAUUAUCGGCACAUAAACUUUGAUUCAAGAAAAAUAUUGAUUUAGCCCCAUACGAAACUUUUCUUAAUAGCUGUAAUUGAUAUGAAGGUUAUAUGAUAAGCCUUUUCUUAAUAUAGAUAUAGCUAAAGUUGGUGUAAUACAUAAUAUUCACAAUGUUAUCUUAUUUAUCGCAACGGCAUUAUCCUCUACCUACUUCCCAUCAAUAAAUCUAAGAUAUUAUAGGUAUUAUAAUAAUAAAGCUACGGCGCUUGCGACCGUUUAACCAUGAUGAUGAUGAAGGCAAUCCUCCAUUGAGGUUUGAUAUCGGCUAAAAAAGAUAUCAAUGUAGGCUUUUUAUUACAAAAUAAUUUUGAUACUUACGGUCCAACUCUGAUGUAGACGAUUAUUUGCGAACAGCCAUAUAAAAUGAUCGCCGAAUAAAUACAAUAAAAAUGUCACGCUUUCAUUAAACUGCAAAUUAUGCGCGCAAGGACACGUAUCCCUAAGAAAAGUAAAUUAUAAGCAACUAAAAAUUGAAAAAAAAAGGCUUACCUGAGGUAUAUAUGAAGGCGCCUGUCUAAGUAGGUGUAUACACACAUGCACUUAUUGAAAUCGGAUUGCGGAUGCACGCCGUUUUUAAAUAUUGCGGAACGUCGAAUUUAUAAUUAGUACAGAACGUACUUCACCGUAAAGAUAUACACAUUUCCUAUUUCCAUCAUAUUUCCCACCUUUUUUAUGGGAGAUUUUCGAACUUUACGCAUUCAUACACAAUAAAACCCGUAUAUAGGUGUCGAUAUGGAAAUGAAAUGGGAUAAAGUACCAUAUCAAAUUCGCGAGCACGCGCUGCUAUAAAUAAACACUAUCGCAAGAUUGAAACUUCCCAUACCAAUUAUUAGAAUAAUGACAUCUGCGAACUCUGUUCUCUUUGAGGAUAGCUUCUACGUCUUACUAUAAAAAACCAGGGGGCUGCCUUAGACCCUAAGAGCUACUAUAUAAAACUAGGGGUAGUUCCUUGGGGAUAGGAUUAGGGGUUAGCUCCCCCACCCUACGAAAUAGCUCACAUCGGUAUCUACAGCUCCUGACGUUGAUGCUAUAAUUAAAUACUAUCGAAUUAUUGCGAGAUUGCAGCAUCCUCUCCCAUAACCGCGGUUAUUUUUUUCUCUAACUGAUAACACAUUUACAUUCGUGCUUAUUUAGCUGCAAAUGUCGAAUCAAGAAAUGUGCAAUCAUUUUUGCGAGGAGUCGAGGUAAACCUGCAUGUAUAUUACUAUACGUUUUAACCGUAUAUUUGUAGAACAAGAAACUACUAUUAUUUUCGGCGGGAUAAACCCAGCGAGGUAUAAAACCCCCCAUGUAUUACGUUUUAAUUAUAUACCUAUGUGUAGAACGGAGCGGGGAUUUCCAAUUAUGAAUAACAAUGUCGGCAUCCAAAAAAAUAGGGGCGUUGCCGUCGUCGGUCCUCUUCGACGCAAAUUUUAUAUCUAAAUAAAAACGCCCUACAUUUUGUUUUUGUUGUUUUAUUUCCCUACCCGCCCCUGUUCUGGUUGUAGGUUAGAAUGGGGCCCCCUUGUGUAUGUCUCUCAAAUGGGGGAGCUACCUCCGAGAUGGAAUGAUAGGUUAGAAUUCUCCUCCCUUGCAUCUCUCUCCUGAACCCUCGUAUCUAACCGUUUGAUGUCUCAUCAAUGCCGGGGCGCCGGUUGAAAUUAUACUUUCCUAUACCUAUACGAAUCCUAAUAGAUGGCGACUCCGUUCCGUUAAAAUAGGUUAGAAUGAGGGACCUCGCACUUGACGACUGAAAUUACAAUUUCCUACCUCUAUAUGCAUUACGACGCCAAUAGAUGGCGCCUCCGUACCCUUAAAAUAGGUUCGUUAUAAAUACAACUAUCCAAGCAUUAUAUCAUACAAGUCUAGUUAGCCUAGUGGUUAUGCUAUAGGACUUGUAAUCCGAUGGUUGGCGGUUCGAAUCCGUUCCAUUUAAAAAAAAAUUUCAGGAGGUUCGAUAUAAAUACAACUAUCCAAACAUUAUACCAUAAUAGUCUAAUUAGCUCAGUGGUUAUGCUAUAGGACUUGUAAUCCAAUGGUUGGCGGUUCGAAUCCGUUCCAUU